CACCUCGUAGAUGCAGCACUGAACGAUGGUGAGGAGGGUCAGGGCCACUGCGUGGAGACUGAAGAACACAUCAUUGAUGGCCACAGGGUUCACCCCGCUGGGAUAACUGACCAGGAACUCCUCCUAAAGCACAGGGUCUGUUGGGCAAGAGCAGAGCUGCAUCCUCACCCUCGUGAUGGUGCUGCCCUGUGAGCGUUCCACGUGCUCGCCUCUGCCUCGAGUUUCAAAAGCAGAAGCAAAACAAGGAAGUAAAACAGGAGCACUCUGCUGCUCAGUAAUGUCUGAGCCACAAGCAAGUACAGUCCAGCUUUCUCCAUGUGGCUGGGCUCUUCCCAGGAGGGAGAACUGGCAUCUGUGAGGAGAGGGCUCCCCUGACUGACCCAGCCCAGGAACUCCAGAACAAAUCCUGCACAGCAAGAACAGCAUCCCACUGGACACUGACAGCCAAAUGCUCCCCAGAGCAGAAAAGCUGGCAUGUGAUCUCCAUACUUUUGGGAGGCACUAUUAAAACAAGACUAAGGAGCUGUGAGAACUCAGCUAUCUUGUAAUUAAAUCUAAGACACCACUCUG
Molecule: long non-coding RNA, 570 nt
Organism: Melospiza melodia melodia
Lineage: Eukaryota; Metazoa; Chordata; Aves; Passeriformes; Passerellidae
Exons: 2
Source: RefSeq, a predicted model, not a curated record